AUGGGCUGUCAAGGGCCUGAGUGCCCUUUGCCUGUUCAGAGGCACAAUACUGGACCCAGAAAUACCUGGCUUGAAUCAUGCAGUUUUUUAGAAUCAGGCUGGUGCAGCAUUUGGCUUCUGGAAGGCUGGGCAUCAUUUUGGUCACAAAUGCAAUGUGUCAGUGUGAUGGUAUUUUGAGGGGUGGACUGAGCCUAUCCCUAUGUUCCUUCUCCCCAGAAAUCUCCACAUCCUUCUCCUUCCUGUUCCCUCUGAGCCUCUUCUUCCUCUGCUGGACACCUGUGCCAAGGAACCUACCUAAAUCCAGAUCUAUGUCCUCCUCCUCUCUGCUCCACCUCAGCCUCUUCCUCCCUGCUGGACACCUGUGCCAAGGAACCUACUAAAUCCAGGUAAAAGUGAAUAACGCCUGGUGUGUGGGGGGGUCCUGGAUUUCAGGGCAGGUGUCAAUCCCGAAGUGUGCUGAUUGAUUGGCAGCUGGCUAUCAUGACCUACAAGCUGUACGUCUGAUGAGGGAAUUGGAUGGUGUCCUGAGGGGUGAGUGUCCUGGUUGAUGUGGAGGGAGUCACACCACAGCCAUGGUGCAUGUUAGUGCUCUGAGGUAGAGGCGUGAAGGAGUCACACUGGCACGUGCCCCAGGGCAGUGCAGACCAGGGUUCUGCUGUGGAAGGCAGAGGAAGGGCUGAGAGUUGUUGUUAUGGCAGUGUCCCCCAGAUGGCGCCAAAGUGUCAACAGAGCUGCUCUGCAUCUCCAGGCUCAGAACAGGAAUGGAGAUGGAUCCAGCAAACCUCAAGGAGGUGCCCAGAGCCUUGUGUUUUGUGCACGUGGAGCCUCUGACCCUUUGGCCCAAUUUGCCUCCACUUACUCUGGGGACAUGCAUCUGCCAUCACAUGUCCAACUAGAUUCCUGUUGGGUUGGGAGACACAAUGAUGGGAGAUUUUGACAGGCUUUCUGUGGUCGGAGUGUCCUUUGCUUGUUUGGAGACAGAGCUCUGGCCCCAGAAACACUGGUCUUGACUGUGAAUGGUACCGUUUUCCAGAAAUAUCUUGGAAGGGAAUGUUGCUUCUGGAACACAGAGCUUCAGGUCCUGAAUGCAGUGUUUCAGUGUAAUCGUUUGAGGGGGCCAGCCUGAGCCUAUCCCUGUGCUCCUUCUCCCCAGUGAUCUCUGCAUCCUCCUCCUCCCUGUUGGACACCUGUGCCAAGGAACCUACCUAAAUCCAGGUAAGUGAAUAAUGGCUGGGGGGGGGGGGGG
RNAcentral lists this long non-coding RNA (1246 nucleotides) under Sus scrofa (pig). RNAcentral describes it as "lncRNA (ENSSSCG00045019444.1)". Lineage: Eukaryota; Metazoa; Chordata; Mammalia; Artiodactyla; Suidae. The record is from RNAcentral.